AAAAUGCUAUUAUAUGGCUCUAUACCUUGCUGGUAUAGAUAGGCUGUAUCAACUAUUUAUUAUGUUGAAUCAUAAGAAUUUGUUUUUAUAGGUCAAAAGUGACCAAAUAUCAGCAGUUUAUAUAGUCUGGGGAAAUUUGGAGACGAAGGUGACAUUCUGAAAAACAACUGGCCUGGACUCUUUUGAAAUGAUAAUAUUAUGAAAGACAAAAAAUAAAGGAAGAGAAGAGACAUCAACACACGGAAAGACAGCAGAAGAAUGCCAUGUUACAAUAGAGGCAAAGAUUGCAGAGAUGUGUCUAAUAACCAAGGAACACACCACGGAUUUUUGGCAACACCAGAAGCUAAGAGAAUAGGAGAGGUUCUCCCCUAGAAUCUCCAGAGAGGGGACGGCCCUACCAACACUUGAUUUUGGACUUCCAGCCUCCGGAACUGUCAUAAAAGGACAUUUAAUUACAUCAACUAGAGUCAUGCAAGAAGAGUGCACUCAUUUUGAAUCUAUAAAUGGAUAUGAGCUAAUUGGUCUAACUGGCUAAGAACCCAGUGCUAUUUAAAGUUACUACUUCUACAAAUCCAAACAGAAACAAGAUGUGGAGGAGUUAAAAGUAGAUGAACUUGUUUACCUGCAAAGAGCAGUUGUUCAUCAUAUGCCUCUUUACUUUUACCUGAGGAUUUUGUGAAAUAACAAUAAUAUUGAUGUUGCUGAAUGAUAACCUGAUAUUGAAGCAGCUUGGUAAUAUGAAAGAAACCAAAGCCACUGGAAACCAAACCCAAUGGACUAAAUAUCAGAAGAUGGAGAUUCUAUUUCUGACUUUGCCACUUACGUCAUAUCAAGGUAUCAUUGUCUGAAAAUGACCCGUGAGACUGCUAUUUUGGAGUCCUCAGGAUAUGCGGGCAAAAAGGACUGGCCAACAUGUUGGAAAUGGCAAAGCAUAAAGAAUUCCUGUAAAUGAUGAACUCUUGCCAUUGGAAUUGCACAGCCAUAGAACACGAACUGCCUGAGACAAGUCAGCCUCCACACCAAGCUCUGCCAGCAUGACUCAAUACCAUUCCCAAGAUAUCAAGCUGGAGGAAUUUAAUCUCUGUAUCCUUGGUCUCUAACCUUCCCGAAGAGAAUCUCUUUCAGCUUGUCAACAUCUUCACGGAUUAAUCAGGUCAACAGAGAUGAUAUGUUUUCAAUCAUUUAGCUAUAAUAGCCCACUCUGUUAUAACUUUUUUUUUUUAAGGUGUUCAGCAUGUAAGGGCCAAUUAUGUUGCUGGAACUUUUUUCAAAUUAUUACUUUCAAUAUUCUCAUCUACUAAAGUUGUAAUAAGAUUGGAAGCUUUAAAGAAGAAACUGUUCACUGACUGUGAUAAAAAAACAAAACAAACAAAACCCAAAAAUAAAUGUUUUCAGGACCAGCAAAAUGUUAUAGGCCCUUAUGUCCUGAAUUCCAAGUAGAUUUCAUUUUAAGUUUUUGCUAGGCAGAAAAAGAAAGAGAGUUACUAUUUAGUGCAAAUGAGUCUCUGGAGUAACCAAAUUCAUAUACAUUGCUAGUUGGGAUGUAGAGCAUGAUAGUUACCAUAGAAAAUAGUCUAAUGGUAUUAAUAUUUAGUAAAGAUGAGAAUGCUUAACUAUCCAACAAUUCAUUCAUAGGAUUGUAUCCUAAGGAAAAUCUCAAACAUGCAAACCAACAAGUAGGCAUAAGAAUGUUCACAGAAAUACUGUUGAUGACAGCAUAGAAUUAGGGACUACACCAAGACCUGUUAGCAAUAAAAUUGAUAAAAAGAAUUGUGGUGAAUUUAUAUGUUAGAAUCCUAGUAAGCAAUAAAAAUGAAAGAGCUACAGCUAAAAUUGGCAUGGAUCUACCUUGGAAUCACAAGAUAGAGGUGAAAAUGCGACAUGGAAGACUAUAAAAGAAAAAUUUUAUGUACAUAAAGUUUUAAGACAUGCAACAUUGAACAAUUCAUUGAUUAAGAAUACAGACAUAGGAGAUAAAAAUGGUUAUAUAUUUUAAAAAUACUGAUAAUGAGAAAGUUCAAGAUAUUAGUGAAUUUAUGGGAAAUGAAGGGAGAUGAUGGAACAAGGACAAGGCAAGCAGGGGCUUCCAAGUAGUGCUGGUGAUGCUUUAUUUCCUCAUCUGUGUGGUAGAUAUGGGAGUGGUUGAUUUAUGACUAUUUAUUAUACUUUAUAAUCUGUUAUAAGUAUUAUUUUAUAUGUAUCAAAUAUUACACUUAAAAUAAUUAAUAACAGAGUUAUAAAGAAGAGAAAGGAAGGAAGGGAGGGCGAAAGAAAGGAAAAACAUGGAAAAAUUAAAAGGGAAAAUAAUGACUAAGACAAAAUGAAAUGGUUAAGUGGUCUGAGCAAAAUGGACAUCUCAAAGAUAAAGUUGCAGAAAACAGAGAAAUGUUGAUCAUAAAGAUACAUUAACCAUAAGAUUAAAAUGAUGAUGAUGAUGAUGAUGGUGGUGGUGGUGGUGGUGGUGGUGAUGUCAUAGUAUCUAACAAUUAUGGAGUGGUUGUUAUUUUCCAGAUAAUAUUUUUAGUUUACAUCUAUUAACUCAUUUAAACAUUACAGUAACUUCAUGGGAUAGGUUUCACCACUAUUUUUAUUUUUUACGUUACUAAACUGAAGCAUAUAAAAUUCCAAUAAACUUGAAAAUGUUACACAUUUGGUAGGUAGCAGAGCAGAAAUAUUAAUUCCAUUCCAGGCAGGCUGAUUGCUUAACACCAUGCUAUCUAAAGUGUUCAAGAAUCAUGGUCCCCAGAUAAUGAGUGGCUGAUUCUUCUGACCCUAUCUCUCAAAGCCUCCAUGAACCACCCUCAGUCUUUCCUAAAGUACAACUACAUUGUUUAUGGGGAUUUUGCUGUUGUUUCAGGAGCUAUGUAAUUAAAAGUCUAUCUGAUUCUCUACUUUUACUUUUUAAGAAAUUCUGCAGUUUUCUGCUUCUUCUCAAGAGUAGUAGUCAUCCUUUAUGAGAUACUGAGCUUGGAACCUGUAGCAGAGGUAUCGGGUCACUUUUAUUAAAUGCAUUUUCACGCAUUACUGUUCUUCAGUUCCUUCAUAUUCUUUCCAAAGAAACAAUAAGUCUUAUGUGAUGCAUAGGAUUUUCCAUGCAUCAUGUAAUAUUUCAUUAAAGAAUAAAAUUGGGUAAUACCAUGUUCCAUAUUUUUCAGCUCAGUCUUAAUUGAAAACUGAUGGGGGGCAGUGCCAAGGUUAGAUAUUUGUACACAGAGAAAAUUACAUACUUACAAAGAAAAAUUUUAAGAAACUAUGUUUCUCCAAAAUGUCAUUAGAUAUUGUAACUAUCUCUUUUUUCUCAUAUCAUUGUGAUGAUCUUAUUCUAUGGAAUUAUAUAUGCUUAUUAAUAUUUUAUUGUUCCAGUUAAUAGAAGUCAUUGUAAAACAAAGUUAUCUAUGACUCACCAAGUUGGG
Molecule: long non-coding RNA, 3413 nt
Filed under: Homo sapiens (human)
Lineage: Eukaryota; Metazoa; Chordata; Mammalia; Primates; Hominidae
Description: HSALNT0125005
Source: RNAcentral